UAUCCCUACGGGAGGCAGCAGUGGGGAAUAUUGCACAAUGGGGGAAACCCUGAUGCAGCGACGCCGCGUGAGUGAAGAAGUAUUUCGGUAUGUAAAGCUCUAUCAGCAGGGAAGAAAAUGACGGUACCUGACUAAGAAGCCCCGGCUAACUACGUGCCAGCAGCCGCGGUAAUACGUAGGGGGCAAGCGUUAUCCGGAUUUACUGGGUGUAAAGGGAGCGUAGACGGCAUAGCAAGUCUGAAGUGAAAGCCCAAGGCUCAACCAUGGGACUGCUUUGGAAACUGUUAA
This 288-nucleotide ribosomal RNA is filed under the name uncultured bacterium. Its description in RNAcentral is "partial 16S ribosomal RNA". It matches the Rfam family "Bacterial small subunit ribosomal RNA", at positions 334 to 639 of the family's 1533-position model. The record is from RNAcentral.